Molecule: ribosomal RNA, 253 nt
Filed under: uncultured bacterium
Lineage: Bacteria
Description: partial 16S ribosomal RNA
Rfam family: Bacterial small subunit ribosomal RNA
Source: RNAcentral
CACGUAGGGCGCAAGCGUUGUCCGGAAUUAUUGGGCGUAAAGAGUUCGUAGGCGGUCUGUCGCGUCUGCUGUGAAAACUCGGGGCUUAACCCCGGGCCUGCAGUGGGUACGGGCAGACUAGAGUGCGGUAGGGGAGACUGGAAUUCCUGGUGUAGCGGUGAAAUGCGCAGAUAUCUGGAGGAACACCGGUGGCGAAGGCGGCAUUCUGGACCGACAUUGACGCUGAGGAGCGAAAGCCAGGGGAGCAAACGGG